RNAcentral lists this ribosomal RNA (253 nucleotides) under uncultured bacterium. RNAcentral's name for it is "partial 16S ribosomal RNA". It matches the Rfam family "Bacterial small subunit ribosomal RNA", at positions 524 to 776 of the family's 1533-position model. The record is from RNAcentral.
UACAGAGGUGGCAAGCGUUGUUCGGAUUUAUUGGGCGUAAAGGGUCCGUAGGCGGCUUAGAAAGUCGGAUGUGAAAUCCCACAGCUUAACUGUGGAACUGCAUUCGAAACUUCUAAGCUCGAGUGUGAGAGGGGUAAGGGGAAUUCCCGGUGUAAGAGUGAAAUCUGUAGAGAUCGGGAGGAACACCAGUCGCGAAGGCGCCUUACUGGCUCACCACUGACGCUGAGGGACGAAAGCCAGGGGAGCAAACGGG